AAGAUAGAAAGACUAAAACCUAUUCUAGUCCCAGCUCCCCCGAAAUCCAAAUCUUCGUCUCGAGCCUUCCCCUCCCAUCAGAUCAUGAUCUACCGCUCCGUCAGUAAGCAACUCCACCAAGUCUUGCCUCUUCGACACCUCUCUCUCUCUCUCUCUCUCUGGUGAAUCUCUGGCUUGCCUAUAUCCGCGAAAGCUCUCUGUCUCAUGAAACAUCUCUCAGCCCUCUCUCCCCAGUUUCUAAUUCCUAAAUCCCUAAAUCCUCCACAUUCACGGGGAGCUGACUACGAUGGCCUCGAUUCUCAAGCCGUCCAAGGAGGUGAGAUGGGAAGACAACGGCGGCGUUUCGUUGCCGUUUCCGGAGAGGCAGAGGGCUCACUUCAACAGUGUUUUGAGAGCAAUGAUUGUUUUCACUACUCAGGUGAUUGCGCCAGUGAAGUGGCCUUCAAGGGGCUAGGGGACUUUUCGAAGAAGGAGCUGGACUCGGACUCGGAGUAUGAGUCGGAGGCUGAGGUGGUUGAGCCGAUUAAUGAAGACGAGCUGGCUCUUUUGAAAUUGGGCUUGCCUCAGUGGCGUGGCAUUUUUUCGCCUUUUCCCAUUCAGAUUGAGGUCUAAGAUACGGCACCACUGUCAAUAGAAUCGAUAAGAGGUGCUAUGCUUUCUCUGGGCAAACAGAGAAAACAUGGCACCCUUAUCGAUUCUAUUGACAGAUGAGGAAGGACUUGUCACGGUGGCCAUAGAGGCGGUUUCGAUCGGCCAUAGAAAAAGAAGUAUUUUGUUUUGGGUUUGGGUUUUUAUUUUGUUGCUUGCAGUUCUGUUUGGUAUUUGAGAAAAGUAUGUGUGUGUGUGUGUGUGUGUGUCUUUAUGCAUAGGCAAAUGAUUCUCUGUGUGUUUGCAUUUGCUUUGAAAGAUCUACUGUGAGAUUUAUAUGCUUGAGUUGUAAUGCUGUACACAUAAUUCACUUCUUGCAGCUCAUCGUAUUUUCAUCUUGACUAAUUAAAAUGACAUUUGUAUGUUACGGUCAUUGCUUUGAUGCAGGCAGUGAUUGAGAAAACCAAUCUGAAUCCCAAGGAAGUUGGGGAUAUUGUUGUCGGUACCGUGUUGGCUCCAGGAUCUCAAAGAGCUAGCUAGCGAAUGCAGGAUGGCUACUUUCUAUGAUGGCAUGGGAAGGGGAUAUUAAUCCUGAAGUAAAGAUCUUUGAACGAGCCUAGAAUUGCCUUCUUUUUAUGGGCGUCACCUCAGAAAAUGUUGCUUAUCAUUUUGGUGUUUCAAGACAGGAGCAAGAUCAGGUUGCAAGUUUAGAAGAUGUAACUGGAGGAGGAUUUGAUAUAUGCCAUGCUGCUGGAAGUGCCCAACAUGGCAGCUAACAUCUUUGAUGCAAAGCGCAGAGUGAUUAGUAAGACAUUCAGUGGUGGCUGUCAAUGUAAAGUUGUUUUGUUUUCAAAUAUGCUUUCUGUUCAAUUUUUAUUGGAUUUGCAUACUAUUUGGAGCUAUGGUUGUUUGAUUUUAAUGUAUGUUUUGGUCAAACAGUAUUUCAAUUGCAUUUUAUACUUGAGUAUAUUUUUUAUUCUAUUGAAAUGGGUAGGUGCUGUUUUCUUUGAUUUCUGGUAUCAUGAUUUGUGAAUUUUUGUUCUUUGCUCUGAGAAUCAAAUUGGAGGUGAGAGAAGUAUGGAUUUUUUAGUCUAGUUUUAUAUUGAAAGAUUGAGGAACGUUGGUGCAUUUUGUUCACUCCCACCUUUUUGUCUAUUUUGGUUUUACUUUGUCUUGGGUUUCUUCAGAGGUUAGCAUGAACUUUUCACAUGAUAUGGAUGAUGAAUAUGAGAAAAGUGGCAGGAGAAUGAACCCAGAAUUUCAAGCUGAAGCAUACUGGACCAGCUGCUUAGUCUCAUUGCAGGUAGGAUUGAAACUCUAGCAAUCACAGAAGCCUUUGGGGAAUUUAGGUAACCACUGUUUCUUUCAGUAUCACUGGUGUCCAUAAUCUGAAAUGUUUCUUUGAGUAUCACUGUUGUCCAUUGCUUGUAUUAAACGUAAACACUAAUUUCAGAUCUGGGAAAACACAGCUUGCACACACACACACACUGCUUAACUAUACACGUUUGUCUCUCUCCUUAAGUUGUGACGUCUUAGCAUACUGGAAAUCAUGCCAUCAUUGUGCAAAAUUCGGUUGCGGUCUUUCACUAAAAGUCUGGCAUUUGAGUAGUAAAAUGAAGUUUACAUUGACUGACUUGCAUAUCAUUCAGUUUGAUUAACAGAGAAUUGUACACUAUUAAGAAGCAUGUUACUGAAAAAGUUAUAAUUGUGGGUUUUGGACUACUGCAAUGCCAUGCCAAGUGAAGUUGAAUGCCAAUACUGCUUUUACAAUAGUGCAUGCCAUAUCUGGUCUUUCUCGAAUAAUAAACUAGUAGCUACCUAAGAUUUCCAUACUUGAAUAUGCAGUUCAAAGGCAGCAAAUAAGGCAGCUGCUGCAACUGUCCUUGGCAUCCAAGUUGGCUGUAGAUUCAGACCUAAGAUUCCAUGUAGGAGAUGAAUCUAGAGCUAAUGCUGCACAAGAUAAUGAACUAAAUGCUGCACAAGAAUAAUGCACUUGUCCAUCAGAAUCCUCAAGCAUAUGCUGCACAAGAUGGAAAUUGGAUUGCUCGUUGUAGCAUUACCUGUGGGUGAGGAUCAAACACAAUCUUGUAUAGCUUAUGAAAUUGGAAGGCAUAGUUCAAUGCAAUGUUCAAAAUGUUUAUAAAGUUGUAUAUGGUGAAUCGAUUGGAGUUUGUUUGAUGUAUCAAAGUUACUUUUAGCAUUAAUAUAGAAUUAUU
Rosa rugosa (rugosa rose) is the source of this 2804-nucleotide long non-coding RNA. RefSeq lists it as uncharacterized. Lineage: Eukaryota; Viridiplantae; Streptophyta; Magnoliopsida; Rosales; Rosaceae. The transcript is spliced from 5 exons. The record is from RefSeq and is a predicted model, not a curated record.